Molecule: long non-coding RNA, 242 nt
Filed under: Solanum tuberosum (potato)
Lineage: Eukaryota; Viridiplantae; Streptophyta; Magnoliopsida; Solanales; Solanaceae
Description: long non-coding RNA (STUB_LNC001877)
Source: RNAcentral
UAUAAUCCCGCUCUUCUUACAGUCCCUUCUUAAUCUGAGUUUUCAUUUUGUUUGUUUAGUUAGCUAUAUUGUUCGAAUGGUUUAGCAAGAAUAGGGAUGCCUCGUAUGAUCGAGACUUUGGUCUUUCAUGUGUGAGUAUGAUUCGAAUGUGUAUGUAUGGAUGUUGGAAGGAUGUUUUCUGACUGUUGUUGCUCUUAUUGUUUUAGCUUUCAUAGCAUUGUUAUGAUCAAUUUCAAAAUUGC